Molecule: long non-coding RNA, 216 nt
Organism: Schistocerca serialis cubense
Lineage: Eukaryota; Metazoa; Arthropoda; Insecta; Orthoptera; Acrididae
Exons: 3
Source: RefSeq, a predicted model, not a curated record
GUUUCAGUGUGUAGUCAGCUGCAACUUUGUGGAUUUGCGGAAAUUUGUGUGUGACACUCUCUAGACUGUAGAACUGAAGUCAUGGACCAGGAGCCAACUAUGUGGAUAAAAAAUGAGGCAAUGGAUGAAGUACAAACUGAGUUACACUACAUGGCCCAAGUUUACCCAUGCAUCAUGAAUGUAAAAGAGGAGUUGGAGGAGAAUGUGAAUAAAGAG